RNAcentral lists this ribosomal RNA (491 nucleotides) under uncultured bacterium. RNAcentral describes it as "bacterial SSU rRNA". It matches the Rfam family "Bacterial small subunit ribosomal RNA", at positions 588 to 1084 of the family's 1533-position model. The record is from RNAcentral.
UCAGUUGUGAAAGUUUGCGGCUCAACCGUAAAAUUGCAGUUGAUACUGGGUGUCUUGAGUACAGUAGAGGCAGGCGGAAUUCGUGGUGUAGCGGUGAAAUGCUUAGAUAUCACGAAGAACUCCGAUUGCGAAGGCAGCUUGCUGGACUGUAACUGACGCUGAUGCUCGAAAGUGUGGGUAUCAAACAGGAUUAGAUACCCUGGUAGUCCACACAGUAAACGAUGAAUACUCGCUGUUUGCGAUAUACAGUAAGCGGCCAAGCGAAAGCGUUAAGUAUUCCACCUGGGGAGUACGCCGGCAACGGUGAAACUCAAAGGAAUUGACGGGGGCCCGCACAAGCGGAGGAACAUGUGGCUUAAUUCGAUGAUACGCGAGGAACCUUACCCGGGCUUGAAUUGCAACUGAAUGAUGUGGAGACAUGUCAGCCGCAAGGCAGUUGUGAAGGUGCUGCAUGGUUGUCGUCAGCUCGUGCCGUGAGGUGUCGGCUUAAG